UCGAUUGAUUAAAAAAGUUUCGCCACGAU
This 29-nucleotide small RNA is filed under the name Bombyx mori (domestic silkworm). Its description in RNAcentral is "ovarian small RNA-7537". Lineage: Eukaryota; Metazoa; Arthropoda; Insecta; Lepidoptera; Bombycidae. The record is from RNAcentral.